This 1110-nucleotide long non-coding RNA is filed under the name Numida meleagris (helmeted guineafowl). Its description in RNAcentral is "lncRNA (ENSNMEG00000003435.1)". Lineage: Eukaryota; Metazoa; Chordata; Aves; Galliformes; Numididae. The record is from RNAcentral.
ACUGCAACAGGAGCAGGAUGGGGCAUCUGGUCUGGUGGGCUUGGAGCAUCCUCUGCCAGCAGAAAGGGGAGAAACAAAAACUUGAAGCAGAAAUGUUAUUUUGGAGGUGAAACUUUGGAUUGAACUGAAUUCAGUGAGAGCUGUCAUUAACGAAGUCUUACCCGAGAGACAGUGCUGCUAUCAGAAGGAGAGAAAGAACCACACCGUGUUACCAUUUGGGAUGACUGCUUCUGCUGCUAAAUGUCAGGCAUUGCAUUCAAUACACCAGGCUUUUUUUUUUUUUCUUUUAAAUUAUCAUCUAGAAAAGUAACACCAGAAUGCCUAGAAUUUCACUAAAAGAAACUUUUGGAAAUUGCUCAAGAAAAGCUCCAGGGAGUACUUUCUCAGAAUGAAAAUCAGUUAAACAGAGCUUUUGAUGUAGAUACAGCCUAAUGGCCUCCAAAGCCUGGAACAGGUAUCUCGUUCCCCUCGUCCUUUCCCAGCUUUUAGCCCUAUGCAUGUAAGAAUGACUUUCAGCAUCUAGCAACAUCCUAAAGCUAUGAGCACAUCAGUAUCGUUGGUUGUUGCCAUCUCCUACAGAACUGAAGAAACGGGAUUUGCUUCAGCGGAGCUUCAUGGGCACAAAGAUCUCCACUCCAGCAAAGAACCUUGCAGGAAGAUAGGACGUGGCAGAAGGUAUCAGUUAUGGCACAGGAGGUGGUGUCCUUCGUCUUGGAGGACCAUACUCUGCUUCCUCCAGCAUGGGAAGAUUGGCAGAAGUCACCAUCACAUUUCAUGGAGCUGAGUCUAGAGGAAGGUGAACUUGAGUUUUGUUUAAGAAGGCUGAAUUUCUUCUUUAGCCCUAUGAAAGAUCAUCUUAAGUCAGCAUCAGUAGUUUCAGCAUCCUCCAGAGCCACAGGAACGGUCGUCUUAAAGGAAUUUAUUCUAACCACAUCACUUAAUACAAUGGUUUCUAAGUAGCAAGGAAAAAAACCAAAACCACGGCACCUCAGUGGAACAAGCUGGCAGAUGUUGACCUUUUACCCAUAACUAUGAUGCCUGUAAUGCUUCUGCAGGAGGGAGCAUUCUAGCCUUACAAGUGUUAAAUAAAUAGGAAUGGCAAACAUGGCA